GUUGUAUGGUUAAGUGAUUAAGCGUAGACGGUGGAUGCCUUGGCAGUCAGAGGCGAUGAAGGACGUACUAACCUGCGAAAAGCGAUGGUGAGCUGGUAAGAAGCAUUUGAGCCAUCGAUGU
RNAcentral lists this ribosomal RNA (121 nucleotides) under Salinivibrio sp. SS3. RNAcentral describes it as "partial 23S ribosomal RNA". It matches the Rfam family "Bacterial large subunit ribosomal RNA", at positions 1 to 113 of the family's 2925-position model. Lineage: Bacteria; Pseudomonadati; Pseudomonadota; Gammaproteobacteria; Vibrionales; Vibrionaceae. The record is from RNAcentral.